This 70-nucleotide ribosomal RNA is filed under the name Fusarium sp. C2. RNAcentral's name for it is "partial 28S ribosomal RNA". The stretch from base 13 to 70 matches the Rfam family "Eukaryotic large subunit ribosomal RNA", at positions 1 to 58 of the family's 3401-position model. Lineage: Eukaryota; Fungi; Ascomycota; Sordariomycetes; Hypocreales; Nectriaceae. The record is from RNAcentral.
ACUUCUGAAUGUUGACCUCGGAUCAGGUAGGAAUACCCGCUGAACUUAAGCAUAUCAAUAAGCGGAGGAA